AGAAUGUAUAGCAAUAGCUAAUUGUAUUAACAUAAUAGUUAUUACAAUCUCGAGUAAAUCGAAUAAAAUUCUAGGUAGAUUUAUGAUAAUGACAUUAUCUAUCUAUAUGUCUUGACCAAAUUACGUGCCAGCAGUCGCGGCAAUACGUAAAAGACUAGUGUUAUUCAUCUUUAAUUGGUUUAAAGCGUACCUAGACGGUAAUUAUAGCCUAAAUAAGGUACUUUUUUACUAGAGUUAUAUGUAAGGGUGUAUUAAAGUACUGUUGCGUUUAGAGAUGAAAUUCUUUGACACCAGAUAAUUGGCACAAGUAUAGGCGAAAGCAUCACUUUAUGUAAUAACUGACGUUGACGGACGAAGGCUAUGUGUCGCGAACAGGAUUAGGUACCCUAGUAGUCUUAGCAGAAAACUAUGAAUGUCAUAGGUUAGAUUUUAUUUAGUCUAUAAACGAAAGUGUAAGCAUUCCACCUCAAGAGUAAUUUGGCAACAUUGGAACUGAAAUCAUUAGACCGUUUCUGAAACCAGUAGUGAAGUAUGUUGUUUAAUUAGAUAAUCCGCAAAAAACCUUACCACAACUUGAAUAUAUAUUUACAAGCGUUGCACGGCUGUCUUCAGUUAAUGUCGUGAGAUUUUGGUUUGGUCCAUUUAAUUAACGUAAACCCUUACUCUAUUUUUAAAUAGAGUUUUCCACCGCUAUAUUGGAUGUGAUAAGAGGGACUAAGACAAGUCAUCAUGAC
Molecule: ribosomal RNA, 734 nt
Filed under: Austrella arachnoidea
Lineage: Eukaryota; Fungi; Ascomycota; Lecanoromycetes; Peltigerales; Pannariaceae
Description: SSU rRNA
Rfam family: Bacterial small subunit ribosomal RNA
Source: RNAcentral